CCUGCCCCUCAUCAUGGCCCCGCGGCAGGAGUCCCUGCGUGGCAGUGAGCCAUCUCGGGCCGUGGGGAUGAGGGGGAUGCCCUGGGGAUGAGGGGGAUGCCCUAGGGAUGCGGGAGCCUGGCGCCUGACCACCGCGGCGUGGAGCUGCCCUGCCGCACCCGCGAGAAACUCCCACGGUGUUCACGCCACUGCUGUUUUGCGUCUCUGGCAAAGGCCAAACUUGCUGAUUAUACCAGUUAAUUUGGGUGGUCAGAGAAAGAAUCCAGAGAAUUCUCCUCAAAAAGAACCAUGCCCUUCAGGAGAAUCAAGUGAAGGCAAGAAGAGAGACCCUGGGAACACCGGACAGGAAAACAUCGAGUCUAAACUCUGCCGAUGUGGAAGUGACCUUCUUGAAGUUCUAGCUCCAGCAGACUGGGCGUUCUGUGAUCAACAGUCACCAAGAGCCUGAGCCCCAGAAGGACAGGCCCUUUCUUCACGCCUCAGCUCCUAGAAGACAGCCUGACCCAGAGCGGAUGCCCCAUGCAGACCAGUCCCUGUGGAGUCUACUUCUCCAGACCUGCACCAUCUCCGAGGCUGACGAAACGCUACCAGCUAGAUGCGGCCAAGGCCUCCCCCUCCGGACAGAUGAUUAGCUCUCCUUCAGGAUUCACUGGCCUGGUCUACCCUCCCUCCUCCCUGAUCAAGGAAGGUUCCUGUCUCCUGUACCCCCUUCCUGCCUCUGUCUCCUCCUCAGCCACAUUCUCACUCAAAAUGGACCACCUCGAGAGAUGAAGCUCAACAGCUCCAAAGAAGUCUACUUGGCAAACAGGUCUGGAGUCCUCCCGCUCAUAUUCAUUUUAAUGAUGAUGAUGACAAUAAAAUAGCUAUCAUUUCUUGAGCAAUUACCACACACUAGGCACUACUGUAAAACACAGGGUCUCACUCAACCCCCAAAGCCCGAUUCAGUAG
Molecule: non-coding RNA, 948 nt
Organism: Manis javanica (Malayan pangolin)
Lineage: Eukaryota; Metazoa; Chordata; Mammalia; Pholidota; Manidae
Source: RefSeq, a predicted model, not a curated record